Molecule: ribosomal RNA, 616 nt
Filed under: uncultured bacterium
Lineage: Bacteria
Description: bacterial SSU rRNA
Rfam family: Bacterial small subunit ribosomal RNA
Source: RNAcentral
AGAGUUUGAUUCUGGCUCAGGACGAACGCUGGCGGCGUGCCUAAUACAUGCAAGUCGAGCGAGCUUGCCUAGAUGAUUUUAGUGCUUGCACUAAAUGAAACUAGAUACAAGCGAGCGGCGGACGGGUGAGUAACACGUGGGUAACCUGCCCAAGAGACUGGGAUAACACCUGGAAACAGAUGCUAAUACCGGAUAACAACACUAGACGCAUGUCUAGAGUUUGAAAGAUGGUUCUGCUAUCACUCUUGGAUGGACCUGCGGUGCAUUAGCUAGUUGGUAAGGUAACGGCUUACCAAGGCAAUGAUGCAUAGCCGAGUUGAGAGACUGAUCGGCCACAUUGGGACUGAGACACGGCCCAAACUCCUACGGGAGGCAGCAGUAGGGAAUCUUCCACAAUGGACGAAAGUCUGAUGGAGCAACGCCGCGUGAGUGAAGAAGGGUUUCGGCUCGUAAAGCUCUGUUGGUAGUGAAGAAAGAUAGAGGUAGUAACUGGCCUUUAUUUGACGGUAAUUACUUAGAAAGUCACGGCUAACUACGUGCCAGCAGCCGCGGUAAUACGUAGGUGGCAAGCGUUGUCCGGAUUUAUUGGGCGUAAAGCGAGUGCAGGCCGGUUCAA